CGGACGGGUGAGUAACACGUGGAUAACCUACCUAUAAGACUGGGAUAACUUCGGGAAACCGGAGCUAAUACCGGAUAAUAUAUUGAACCGCAUGGUUCAAUAGUGAAAGACGGUUUUGCUGUCACUUAUAGAUGGAUCCGCGCCGCAUUAGCUAGUUGGUAAGGUAACGGCUUACCAAGGCAACGAUGCGUAGCCGACCUGAGAGGGUGAUCGGCCACACUAGAACUGAGACACGGUCCAG
Molecule: ribosomal RNA, 241 nt
Filed under: uncultured Staphylococcus sp.
Lineage: Bacteria; Bacillati; Bacillota; Bacilli; Caryophanales; Staphylococcaceae
Description: partial 16S ribosomal RNA
Rfam family: Bacterial small subunit ribosomal RNA
Source: RNAcentral